AGCAGCCGCGGUAAUUCCAGCUCCAAUAGCGUAUAUUAAAGUUGUUGCAGUUAAAAAGCUCGUAGUUGAAUUUCGGGAUUGACGUGAUGGUCGUGCCUUACGGGGUAUGAACUGUUGCAGUCAAUUUCUCACCUUCUGGAGAAAUAUGAUGUCCUUAAUUGGGUGUCAUAUGGAACCAGAACUUUUACCUUGAAAAAAUUAGAGUGUUUAAAGCAGGCUUAUUGCUCGAAUACAUUAGCAUGGAAUAAUAAAAUAGGACGGCAUGGUUCUAUUUUGUUGGUUUCUAGGAUCACCGUAAUGAUUAAUAGGGAUAGUUGGGGGCAUUAGUAUUCAAUUGUCAGAGGUGAAAUUCUUGGAUUUAUUGAAGACUAACUACUGCGAAAGCAUUUGCCAAGGAUGUUUUCAUUAAUCAAGAACGAAAGUUAGGGGAUCGAAGACG
This 439-nucleotide unclassified non-coding RNA is filed under the name uncultured Glomus. RNAcentral describes it as "SSU rRNA". It matches the Rfam family "Eukaryotic small subunit ribosomal RNA", at positions 569 to 1006 of the family's 1831-position model. Lineage: Eukaryota; Fungi; Glomeromycota; Glomeromycetes; Glomerales; Glomeraceae. The record is from RNAcentral.